Molecule: long non-coding RNA, 633 nt
Organism: Phacochoerus africanus (Common warthog)
Lineage: Eukaryota; Metazoa; Chordata; Mammalia; Artiodactyla; Suidae
Exons: 3
Source: RefSeq, a predicted model, not a curated record
CAAAGGCCCCCAGCAGAUGCCACCGCCCACCCGCGCCCUCCCUCCGUUGGGGCUCCCGCCCUCCCGACCCAUCCCGCCCUCCAACGGGAUUCCCCGUCCCGAGGCCCGCCCCCGCCGCUCCUCCUCCGGGACACACUGCCCUCCCCGCAGCAGACACGGUCCUCGCCCGGGACUCUGUCGCUCCGUCGACCCCGUUCCCUCAGCCCUCGGAACCAGGAGUGGGCGCCCCGCUAACCCCGGCCAGAUGGGAGUGGACCACAUUGCUUUAGGGAAGUAUGCCAAGCGACAAGACAAGACAUAUGAAGACGUUUUGCCAUAACGAAGAAAAUAUGGUGACAAAAAUAUUCUGAGGUGGAAAGAAAGGGAGCCCUUCAGGUCUUUGUCCUAUAAAUUCGUGGAAAAACCGUUGGCACGUGGUCAGCUACUGGACCUUCGAAAAACAGUACCAGCACCUCUGCCCCACUUGGCCCAGCCCCACCCGCAGGCAGUUAAUAGGAGAAAGGAAUAACUGUGUCCCUCCUGGCUUUCGGGUGUGCAUCUUGCUCUUAAAUCCGAGGCCUCUGGGGCUGAAUGAAACUGGACAAAGUGUGCUGAGUAGCCUAACAGGGAUGGUUCUUUUUCUGAAAGUUCCCU